This 811-nucleotide ribosomal RNA is filed under the name uncultured bacterium. RNAcentral describes it as "bacterial SSU rRNA". It matches the Rfam family "Bacterial small subunit ribosomal RNA", at positions 8 to 796 of the family's 1533-position model. The record is from RNAcentral.
AGAGUUUGAUCCUGGCUCAGAACGAACGCUGGCGGCGUGGAUAAGACAUGCAAGUCGAACGAGACUUUCCGUUGUAGCAAUACGAUGGAAAGUUUAGUGGCGAACGGGUGCUUAACACGUGGGCAACCUGCCAUGAAGUGGGGGGAUAGCUCGCCGAAAGGCGAAUUAAUACCGCAUGUGAUUAGAGAGGACAUCCUUUCGAAAUUAAAGUCGGGGCAACCUGACGCUUCUUGUGGGGCCCGCGGCCUAUCAGCUAGUUGGUGAGGUAACGGCUCACCAAGGCUUUGACGGGUAGCUGGUCUGAGAGGACGACUAGCCACACUGGGACUGAGACACGGCCCAGACACCUACGGGUGGCAGCAGUCGAGAAUUUUUGACAAUGGGGGAAACCCUGAUCGAGCGACGCCGCGUGGAGGAUGAAGGUCUUCGGAUUGUAAACUCCUGUCAUUUGGGAACAAGGUGCACACGUUAACUGCGUGCGUAUUGAUAGUACCAGAAGAGGAAGAGACGGCUAACUCUGUGCCAGCAGCCGCGGUAAUACAGAGGUCUCAAGCGUUGUUCGGAUUCAUUGGGCGUAAAGGGUGCGUAGGCGGCGCGGUAAGUCGGGUGUGAAAUCUCGGAGCUUAACUCCGAAACUGCAUUCGAUACUGCCGUGCUUGAGGACUGGAGAGGAGACUGGAAUUUACGGUGUAGCGGUGAAAUGCGUAGAUAUCGUAAGGAAGACCAGUGGCGAAGGCGGGUCUCUGGACAGUUCCUGACGCUGAGGCACGAAGGUCAGGGGAGCAAACGGGAUUAGAUACCCUAGUAGUCC